UACGUAGGGGGCCAGCGUUGUCCGGAAUCAUUGGGCGUAAAGCGCGCGUAGGCGGCCAGAUAAGUCCGGUGUGAAAGUCAAAGGCUCAACCUUUGAAUGCCGCUGGAAACUGCCUGGCUUGAGUCCGGAAGAGGCAAGUGGAAUUCCCGGUGUAGCGGUGAAAUGCGCAGAUAUCGGGAGGAACACCAAUGGCGAAGGCAGCUUGCUGGGACGGUACUGACGCUGAGACGCGAAAGCGUGGGGAGCAAACAGG
Molecule: ribosomal RNA, 253 nt
Filed under: uncultured bacterium
Lineage: Bacteria
Description: partial 16S ribosomal RNA
Rfam family: Bacterial small subunit ribosomal RNA
Source: RNAcentral